RNAcentral lists this ribosomal RNA (658 nucleotides) under uncultured bacterium. RNAcentral's name for it is "bacterial SSU rRNA". It matches the Rfam family "Bacterial small subunit ribosomal RNA", at positions 788 to 1446 of the family's 1533-position model. The record is from RNAcentral.
UGGUAGUNCACGCCGUAAACGAUGAGUGCUAGGUGUUAGGCCCUUUCCGGGGCUUAGUGCCGGAGCUAACGCAAUAAGCACUCCGCCUGGGGAGUACGACCGCAAGGUUGAAACUCAAAGGAAUUGACGGGGGCCCGCACAAGCGGUGGAGCAUGUGGUUUAAUUCGAAGCAACGCGAAGAACCUUACCAGGUCUUGACAUCCCGAUGCUAUUCUUAGAGAUAGGAAGUUACUUCGGUACAUCGGAGACAGGUGGUGCAUGGUUGUCGUCAGCUCGUGUCGUGAGAUGUUGGGUUAAGUCCCGCAACGAGCGCAACCCUUAUUGUUAGUUGCCAUCAUUAAGUUGGGCACUCUAGCGAGACUGCCGGUAAUAAACCGGAGGAAGGUGGGGAUGAUGUCAAAUCAUCAUGCCCCUUAUGACCUGGGCUACACACGUGCUACAAUGGUCGGUACAACGAGUUGCGAGCCGGUGACGGCAAGCUAAUCUCUGAAAGCCGAUCUCAGUUCGGAUUGGAGGCUGCAACUCGCCUCCAUGAAGUCGGAAUCGCUAGUAAUCGCGGAUCAGCACGCCGCGGUGAAUACGUUCCCGGGCCUUGUACACACCGCCCGUCACACCACGAGAGUUUGUAACACCCGAAGUCGGUGAGGUAACCUUUUAG